CCUGCCUCUCCUGGCUCAUAGCAUUUGUUCCACUCUGCAUGUCUACACUGUUACCUUAUUUCUUUCCCCAAAUGUCUCCUAACAACAGUGUCUACUUCCCAACUCAACAACACCUGUCUGGGCUCUUCUUCUUAUGACCUUCAUGACUUUGGGCAAGUCACAUGCUUCACUUAUCUCCACUAUAAAAUAAGGCUGGAGGUUCCAGUCCCAUUCCCUGUUGUCAGCCAAAGUUCCAUUUCCUCCUGCAGUCCUUGCAGUGCAUACCACAUCUCUCUCGUCCACACUAAGGAUCCCUAGAAGCCUUUGCUGCUAUUUCAGCUCCCCCAGGACUUGGGGCUGUGCCCAAAUUGGGGCCUGCCCCGGCACACUGCUCUGUGCUCCACCUCCACCAAGGAGCACUAGAUCCCUUGUGCUGGC
Molecule: long non-coding RNA, 417 nt
Filed under: Monodelphis domestica (gray short-tailed opossum)
Lineage: Eukaryota; Metazoa; Chordata; Mammalia; Didelphimorphia; Didelphidae
Description: lncRNA (ENSMODG00000033708.2)
Source: RNAcentral